This is a long non-coding RNA of Lolium rigidum, 233 nucleotides long. RefSeq lists it as uncharacterized. NCBI's taxonomy places the organism in Eukaryota, Viridiplantae, Streptophyta, Magnoliopsida, Poales, Poaceae. The record is from RefSeq and is a predicted model, not a curated record. The transcript has 2 exons.
GAUAGGAAGUUCGAGAAUACGGUUCAAUGGGGAAUUGUUUUAGCAUCUCAGCAUGAGAGGUAUUUGACUGAGGUGGUGUUCUAGAAGCUUGCUAUUAUUUUUUAACUACCCAAAGGAUGAAGCCAUUUUAUAUUAGGCUCAAUGAUGACCAAAAGAGAGUCGCUGCUAUGGAUGUUUUUGUUCCCCUUCUGUUUCUUUAUCAUGGCCAUAAUUUGGAUUAUCAUAUUAUUAUU